RNAcentral lists this ribosomal RNA (497 nucleotides) under Lecidella euphorea. RNAcentral's name for it is "eukaryotic LSU rRNA". It matches the Rfam family "Eukaryotic large subunit ribosomal RNA", at positions 103 to 604 of the family's 3401-position model. Lineage: Eukaryota; Fungi; Ascomycota; Lecanoromycetes; Lecanorales; Lecanoraceae. The record is from RNAcentral.
CACAGCUCAAAUUUGAAAUCUGGCUCCUUCGGGGUCCGAGUUGUAAUUUGUAGAGGACGUUUCGGGAGCGGCGCCGGUCUAAGUCCCUUGGAACAGGGCGUCAUAGAGGGUGAGAAUCCCGUAUGUGACCGGCGACCAACCCCAUGUGAAACCCCUUCGACGAGUCGAGUUGUUUGGGAAUGCAGCUCAAAAUGGGUGGUAAAUUUCAUCUAAAGCUAAAUACCGGCCAGAGACCGAUAGCGCACAAGUAGAGUGAUCGAAAGAUGAAAAGCACUUUGGAAAGAGAGUCAAACAGUACGUGAAAUUGUUGAAAGGGAAGCGCUGGCAACCAGACCUGUCCGCGGGCUUCAGCCCUCGUUCUCGAGGGUGUACUUGUCCGCGAUCAGGCCAGCAUCGGUUCGGGCGGUUGGAUAAAGGCCUUGGGAAUGUAGCUUCCCCCGGGAAGUCUUAUAGCCCUUGGCGCAAUGCGACCAGCCCGGACCGAGGACCGCGCUCGC